This 406-nucleotide long non-coding RNA is filed under the name Homo sapiens (human). RNAcentral describes it as "non-protein coding lnc-ARL5C-2:1". The record is from RNAcentral. Lineage: Eukaryota; Metazoa; Chordata; Mammalia; Primates; Hominidae.
GAGCUUUGCAUAGGGUAGACACAGGGCUGCUGAGGUCCUUUCUGCAGAGGUGCCCAGGGCUGAGAGUUAUGGAGCAUUCAAGGGUCUUGACACUGGCUCUCCAUGCUGAUCCAACCAGGACCCGCCUCUCUGACUGGGUGCAUUGCCUGAGUCCCUCUAGCUCCUCUUCCUUUUCUCUCUCCCCAAACCAGGUACUUCAAAGGCUCAUCAAGUCCCGAGGAAAGUCUCAGUCCAAACACCUCAAUGUCCAAAUAGCGGCCUCGGAAAAGCUGGCACAGUGCCCCCCUGAAAUGUUUGACAUCAUCCUGGAUGAGAACCAAUUGGAGGAUGCCUGCGAGCAUCUGGCGGAGUACUUGGAAGCCUAUUGGAAGGCCACACACCCGCCCAGCAGCACGCCACCCAAUCC